AUUGAACGCUGGCGGCAUGCCUAACACAUGCAAGUCGAACGAGGUUCUAGGUGCUUGCACCGAAAAACCUAGUGGCGGACGGGUGAGUAAUACGUAGGAAUCUGCCCUUAAGUGGGGGAUAGUCCGGGGAAACCCAGUUUAAUACCGCAUGAUCUCGCAAGAGCAAAGCAGGGGACCUUUCGGGGCCUUGCGCUUUUGGAGGAGCCUACGUCGGAUUAGCUAGUUGGUAGGGUAAAGGCCUACCAAGGCAAUGAUCCGUAACUGGUCUGAGAGGAUGAUCAGUCACACCGGAACUGAGACACGGUCCGG
RNAcentral lists this ribosomal RNA (309 nucleotides) under uncultured Nevskia sp. Its description in RNAcentral is "bacterial SSU rRNA". It matches the Rfam family "Bacterial small subunit ribosomal RNA", at positions 30 to 334 of the family's 1533-position model. Lineage: Bacteria; Pseudomonadati; Pseudomonadota; Gammaproteobacteria; Nevskiales; Nevskiaceae. The record is from RNAcentral.